RNAcentral lists this small nuclear RNA (307 nucleotides) under Neogale vison (American mink). RNAcentral's name for it is "Neovison vison (American mink) 7SK RNA (ENSNVIG00000024510.1)". It matches the Rfam family "7SK RNA". Rfam says of the family: 7SK was discovered as an abundant small nuclear RNA in the mid-70s but a possible function has only recently been suggested. Two independent studies have found that 7SK RNA binds the CDK9/cyclin T complex (known as elongation factor P-TEFb). P-TEFb activates transcription by phosphorylating the C-terminal domain of RNA polymerase II. The record is from RNAcentral. Lineage: Eukaryota; Metazoa; Chordata; Mammalia; Carnivora; Mustelidae.
GGAUGUGAGGGCCAUCUGGCUGCGACAUCUUUCACCCAUUGAUUGCCAGGGUUGAUUAGGCUGAUCUGGCUGGCUAGGUGGGUGUCCCCUUCCUCCCUCACUGCUCCAUGUGUGUCCCUCCCGAAGCUGCACGCUGGGUCGAAGAGGACGACCUUCCCCAAUAGAGGAGAGGACCGUUCUUCGGUCAAGGGUAUACAAGUAGCUGCGCUCCCCUGCUAGAACCUCCAAACAAGCUCUCAAGAACUUCCUUUGAGGAGUCAUUAUUAUAAGUCAUUAACCAUUAUUAAUUGAUGUUACACAAUAAAAU